AUUUUGUAGUUGGUUGAUUUCUUUACAUUUUGUUUUACAUAUACUAUAGGUUUAAUUGCAUGUUUGGUCCCUUAAGUUGAUUUUAGGUUUUAAGUUGCUCCCUUAUGUUUUAAAAGUUUCAAGUUCGUCCUUUAUAUUUUUUUAGUUUUAAGUUGGUCCAAAACGUUACUCACAUUGCAAUUAGUUGGUUCUUUCGGUCUCAUCAUAAUAUUGAGUUUAAUAAAACCAAAAAAAAUUAAUUUUUUUUUUAAAACUGUCUUAGUAAAUAAGUUAAACUCCAACACCGUUAUUCUCAACCCAAAUCUCUAAACGGUCAAGUGAUGAAAUACACUAACUUAUUUCAAUAUGAGUAACUUGUAGGACCAACUUAAAAUUUUUAAAACAUAAAGGAUUAACAUAAAACUUUUAAAACACAAGAACCAAUUUAAAACCUAAAAUUCUUUCAAAAGAUAAACUUAAAACCUAAAAUAAACUUAUGGAAUCAAACUUGUAGGACCAUGCCUUUUUUUGAUGGCUUGUCAUUGAGAUUUUCACGAAUUGAUUUUAUUUGUAUCUAAACUAAGAACAUUGAUCUACAAAAUAAUGUGAAAUUUCUUACAAACAAAAACACUAUUUUGAAACAAUUCAUUUUUAUAAAACAAAAAUUUGAAGUCUAAAGACAUUGUUAUGAUUAACUGACAUUCCAAUUAUGUAAAUUGACGGUUUAAAAAAGGUUACAUUAAAAAAUCAAUUUUCAUCUUUGAUUACGGAAAUUUUCUUUGAAAUCAUUUUAAAUUAAAGGAGUUAUUUGUUAAAGAGCUAUUUUCUCGUGUUUAUAAUUUUUUUAUAAGAGGUUGUAGAAGACAAGCCAAAAAGAACCGAUUAGAAUACAGAAUAAAGAGAAAGAAGAACAAUUUUUUUAGCUGGACACAGAAGUUGGUGGCUCCAUUACCGGAUGAGGUAGAUUUUUUUGGUAUUUCUAUCAUUUGAGAAUAGAGGUUAUUUUACUGUUGAGUUUUAUUUUACAAAUAUAUUACUAAAGAAAAACAAAAGUUUAAGUGCGGUGUUGUAAUGACAGUCUGUCAUAUUGUUUUUAGUAAGUUUAUGCUUGCUUUAGUUGAGUUUUGUAUUAGAGUAUAGUGAGAAUAAACUAGAGUUACUUAGUGGUAACUAUAGUAGAAAGUUACUUAGGGAGUUUAGUUACUCCAAUUCACUAUAAAUAAGCUACACCUAUGUACUAUUCCAUAUUUUUUAUACAAUUGUUUCUUUGUAAUGAAUCCCAGAGAGAAUUACAUAAUCUAUCUUUCCAUUGCAUUUGAUCUAAAACCAUGGAAUCCUUUUAUUCAUAACAUGGUGUUAUACCCUGAUUUUGGACCUAAAAAUACUCAUUCAAGUUUCUUGUUUUAACACUGAUAUUUGUCAAUUCGCUGUUGUUUUACUCUGAAUCUUUACUCUCUUUUCAUCUGCAUAUUUUACUGUCUCUGUCUCAAAGUACGUUCAAGCUCGAUUUUCUUGCAUAAAAUUAUUCAAAGUGUCUUUUCUUGCAUUAUGAGUCAUUUAAGAGCUCUCUGAAACGUCGCAUUACUUUUUCUUGCAUUUUAUUUCAAAAAAUCAUACAAGAGGGUAUUUUGGUCAUUUCCUGCAGUGGAACCCAUUUUAGUCCCUGUGUUUGCCUCUAAGUCUUUUCAACUUGUCUGUACAAAUCAUUGUUGAGUCUUUGUUUAAAAAUCAUUUCAAAAAUUGCAUUUGAGUCAGUUUGGGUCAGUUUAGUCCCUAGGGGCAUUUUGGUCUUUUCCUGUCAAAAUUUCGGCAGGGAGGUAUUUUAAAAUACCUCAUGUCAGUAAUUGGUUCGUUUUAGUCCUUUUGUUGAUUUUAUUUUUUGUUUCACUUUACGUUUUUUCAAAUUGCCAAUUUUAAUCCAAUUUUAUUUUAAUUUGCAUUUUCAGUCCAAAACUUUUUUAAAUUGCAUUUAGGUCCUUUUUUUUAUUGCAGUUCAGUCCUUUCACUUUUCUUUUUUUGCAGAAGAGUCCCUAAGUCCAAAACAGGUGUCCUUUUCUCAUUGGUUCAGAAACACACAUGGCAGCCUAUAAAAGGUGCAAUCACUGUACAAGUCAGAAUCAGAUCCAAUCAUUGACACAUCACCAAAAACAGAUUUCAAUUUUCUCUCUCUUUUCUAUUAGAUCAAAACAGAAAAAUCCCCAAGAACAAACCAAAAACCGUAGAAAUUUCCAGAACCAGAAUCCAUUGAAAUGGCUUUGAAUCUCAGAGAUUCAUCAAGGAAUCAUCAUCAUUGAAUCGUUGCUCUGCAAUUUGAGUGCGAAUUCACCACUGAAAGCGGCAAACUCAAGCACGAUCACAGAGACUUUCUCGGAGACGAAGAAGAGGGACGAAAAUGAACACGUCGAACCUGUGAAGAAGAAGAGAGGAUCGGAACAGCAAGAACUCAAGCCAGAAUCAACAGAACAAGAUUCAACUCAAGUUUUCCUGAAGAUUCGUUUCGAAUUCACCAAGAAAAUCACAGGUAAAACUCAAACCUCAUCUUUUUUUUCCAAGAACAUCAACAAAGACGAAUCAAGUGUAGAUCUACGAAAUUCUAAAAGAUUCCAUUCGAAAAAGUAAAAAAAACUUGAAAAAGUUUCUUUCAAAACCGCGAGCAAAAAGCGUAGAUCUACGUUGAUUCAGGCUUUGCAUGCAAAAACCAGUGUCAUAUUCAUGCUUAGAACGAAAAAGGAUAUCCAAAAAUGUGAAAAUUUUCGAAAACGGAGAAGUUUGUUCAAACUCCGGCGGCGGCGCCGCCACCCUUGGGCGGCCGGCCACCACGCCGGAGGAACAAACCUCACUGGAGAAGAUGAAGAUCAUCCUCCAUAUGCAGUUUCCGGCGAGAGAGAGGGAGGAGAGAUGCAGUUUCCGGCGAGAGAGGGAGGAGAGAAGUGAGAGCUUCUCUCACUAGAAUGAGAGAAGAGAGAGAAAGGAAAGGAGGGAAUGAAAAAACCCGGUCCUAAAGCCUUUAUAUAAACCACUGAACCGGUCCGGUUUAUUUCUGGUUCUCUUUUUUCAUUCUCAACCUUUAGAUCUAGGUCUUGGAUUCCUGGAUCAAUCCAACGGUUCCUGUGCUUCCAGACUUUUAGGUUUUGGUUUGGGCCUAUUUCCUGUACGUUUUUGUUUUUUCUUGCUAUUCACACCCUGUUUUCUUGCUGAUUGAACCCCUACUUGCUCAAUUUUUUCUCUCAAAAAUUCUAGAAAAAUUCCUAUUGUUUUUAAUUCAUUUUUGGUAUUUCUUGUGAUGCUUUUACACAUAAAAAAACUAAUAAAAAAAUGUAUGUGG
RNAcentral lists this long non-coding RNA (3304 nucleotides) under Medicago truncatula (barrel medic). RNAcentral describes it as "lncRNA gene31357". The record is from RNAcentral. Lineage: Eukaryota; Viridiplantae; Streptophyta; Magnoliopsida; Fabales; Fabaceae.